UCCUGGGAUAGCUCAGUUGGUAGAGCCUUAGGCUAUUAAUCUUAGGGUCGUGGGUUUGAACCCCACCUUGGGCA
Podarcis lilfordi (Lilford's wall lizard) is the source of this 74-nucleotide non-coding RNA. The record is from the annotation of a GenBank genome assembly. NCBI's taxonomy places the organism in Eukaryota, Metazoa, Chordata, Lepidosauria, Squamata, Lacertidae.